UACGUAGGGUGCAAGCGUUAAUCGGAAUUACUGGGCGUAAAGCGUGCGCAGGCGGUUGUGCAAGACAGAUGUGAAAUCCCCGGGCUCAACCUGGGAACUGCAUUUGUGACUGCACGGCUAGAGUGCGGCAGAGGGGGAUGGAAUUCCGCGUGUAGCAGUGAAAUGCGUAGAUAUGCGGAGGAACACCGAUGGCGAAGGCAAUCCCCUGGGCCUGCACUGACGCUCAUGCACGAAAGCGUGGGGAGCAAACAGG
This 253-nucleotide ribosomal RNA is filed under the name uncultured bacterium. RNAcentral describes it as "partial 16S ribosomal RNA". It matches the Rfam family "Bacterial small subunit ribosomal RNA", at positions 524 to 776 of the family's 1533-position model. The record is from RNAcentral.